GACGAACGCUGGCGGCGUGCCUAAUACAUGCAAGUAGAACGCUGAAGGAGGAGCUUGCUUCUCUGGAUGAGUUGCGAACGGGUGAGUAACGCGUAGGUAACCUGCCUGGUAGCGGGGGAUAACUAUUGGAAACGAUAGCUAAUACCGUAUAAGAGUAGAUGUUGCAUGACAUUUGCUUAAAAGGUGCAAUUGCAUCACUACCAGAUGGACCUGCGUUGUAUUAGCUAGUUGGUGGGGUAACGGCUCACCAAGGCGACGAUACAUAGCCGACCUGAGAGGGUGAUCGGCCACACUGGGACUGAGACACGGCCCAGACUCCUACGGGAGGCAGCAGUAGGGAAUCUUCGGCAAUGGACGGAAGUCUGACCGAGCAACGCCGCGUGAGUGAAGAAGGUUUUCGGAUCGUAAAGCUCUGUUGUAAGAGAAGAACGAGUGUGAGAGUGGAAAGUUCACACUGUGACGGUAUCUUACCAGAAAGGGACGGCUAACUACGUG
This 495-nucleotide ribosomal RNA is filed under the name uncultured bacterium. Its description in RNAcentral is "partial 16S ribosomal RNA". It matches the Rfam family "Bacterial small subunit ribosomal RNA", at positions 28 to 507 of the family's 1533-position model. The record is from RNAcentral.